AAUUAAUAUUAAUCAAUAUAACAAAAAAUAUUUUAACCAUAUGGUCCUUUCGUACUAAUAUGGAUUAACAAUCUUAGGAUAGAAACCGACCUGGCUCACGCCGGUCUGAACUCAGAUCAUGUAAGAAUUUAAAGGUCGAACAGACCUAAUCAUUGGGCUCCUGCACCCAAAAUUUUUCUUAAUCCAACAUCGAGGUCGCAAUCUGCUUUGUCGAUAUGAGCUCUCAAAAACAAUUACGCUGUUAUCCCUAAGGUAACUUAAUCUUAUGAUCAUAAAUUAUGGAUCAAAAUAACAAACAUAAAUAAAUGAUAUAAUAAUGAAGAGUUUAUCUAUUCUGCAUGUCACCCCAACAAAACAUCAUCAUUAAAUAUAGAAAGACAAACAAAAAACUAUAUAAAAGUAAAAUGUCAAGCUCUAUAGGGUCUUCUCGUCCUAAAGAAGAAUUUAAGCCUUUUGACUCAAAAGUUAAAUUCAAAAAUUUAUUAAGAGACAGUUGAUUUCUCAUCAAGCCAUUCAUUCCAGCCACUAAUUAAGAGACUAAUGAUUAUGCUACCUUUGCACGGUCAAAAUACCGCGGCUCUUUAAAAA
This is a long non-coding RNA of Schistocerca gregaria, 588 nucleotides long. RefSeq lists it as uncharacterized. The transcript is spliced from 2 exons. The record is from RefSeq and is a predicted model, not a curated record. Lineage: Eukaryota; Metazoa; Arthropoda; Insecta; Orthoptera; Acrididae.